RNAcentral lists this ribosomal RNA (229 nucleotides) under uncultured bacterium. RNAcentral's name for it is "partial 16S ribosomal RNA". It matches the Rfam family "Bacterial small subunit ribosomal RNA", at positions 568 to 796 of the family's 1533-position model. The record is from RNAcentral.
UACGCAGGCGGAAAAUUAAGUCAGUGGUGAAAUCCUGCAGCUUAACUGUAGAACUGUCAUUGAUACUGGUUUUCUUGAAUAUAGUUGAGGUAGGCGGAAUGUGUAAUUUAGCGGUGAAAUGCUUAGAUAUUACACAGAACACCGAUUGCGAAGGCAGCUUACUAAGCUAUGAUUGACGCUGAGGUACGAAAGCGUGGGGAGCGAACAGGAUUAGAUACCCUGGUAGUCC